GAUGAACGCUGGCGGUAUGCUUAACACAUGCAAGUCGAACGGACUCUUCGGAGUUAGUGGCGGACGGGUGAGUAACGCGUGAGAAUCUGGCUUUGGGUUCGGGACAACCACUGGAAACGGUGGCUAAUACCGGAUGUGCCGAGAGGUAAAAGAGAAAUUGCCUGAAGAUGAGCUCGCGUCUGAUUAGCUAGUUGGUGAGGUAAAGGCUCACCAAGGCAGGGAUGAGUAGCUGGACUGAGAGGGUGACCAGCCACAGAGGCACUGGGGCACGGCCCGGAGGGAUACGGGAGGCAGGGGUGGAGAAUUUACCGAGAUGGGCGAAGGCCUGGCGGAGCAAUACCGCGUGGGGGAAGAAGGCUCUUGGGUAGGAAACCUCGUUUCUUAGGGAAGAACAAUAUGACCGGACCUAAAGAAUCAACAUCGGCUAACUCCGUGC
This 436-nucleotide ribosomal RNA is filed under the name uncultured bacterium. RNAcentral's name for it is "partial 16S ribosomal RNA". It matches the Rfam family "Bacterial small subunit ribosomal RNA", at positions 28 to 508 of the family's 1533-position model. The record is from RNAcentral.